Non-coding RNA from Cinara cedri, 153 nucleotides. NCBI's taxonomy places the organism in Eukaryota, Metazoa, Arthropoda, Insecta, Hemiptera, Aphididae. The record is from the annotation of a GenBank genome assembly.
CGGCAAUAAUAAUAAUAAUAAUAAUAAUAAUAAUAUUAUAUAUUUUUAUUUUUUUUUUUUCUACUCCUAAAUAAUAUUCUCAUGUUAUAUACGUACAUUAUUGUAUUUCGUGUGUGUGUGCGUGUGUGUGUGCGCGCGCGCGCGACGCGCCGC